GACAAGGUUUAUAAAGUUAAGGGUUUUUUUCUAGAUAGAUAAAAAUAAAAGUAUAUUUAUGAUAGCUUUUCAUAAAUCAACAAUAAAUCAAACUCCAAUGGAAGAUGAUAUGCCCGAGCGCUCCACAGGUACACGAGCCAGACCAUGGCACAACCCAACCCUAUUUAUUGUUUCUUCUAUUUUUUAAUCUAUACCUACGUCAAGGCGCAUCUGGCCUUGUAUGGAUUAGGCUCCUUGGCACAAGCCAGGCAUGUUGCCAGUGCCAGUUGCCAGCCCUAACAAGUCCAUAGUUUAUCACGAGAAUGUUCAAU
This 311-nucleotide long non-coding RNA is filed under the name Amborella trichopoda. RNAcentral describes it as "long non-coding RNA (ATRI_LNC003335)". Lineage: Eukaryota; Viridiplantae; Streptophyta; Magnoliopsida; Amborellales; Amborellaceae. The record is from RNAcentral.